This 441-nucleotide ribosomal RNA is filed under the name Bos grunniens (domestic yak). RNAcentral describes it as "partial 12S ribosomal RNA". It matches the Rfam family "Bacterial small subunit ribosomal RNA", at positions 768 to 1404 of the family's 1533-position model. Lineage: Eukaryota; Metazoa; Chordata; Mammalia; Artiodactyla; Bovidae. The record is from RNAcentral.
CAAACUGGGAUUAGAUACCCCACUAUGCUUAGCCCUAAACACAGAUAAUUACAUAAACAAAAUUAUUUGCCAGAGUACUACCAGCAACAGCUUAAAACUCAAAGGACUUGGCGGUGCUUUAUAUCCCUCUAGAGGAGCCUGUUCUGUAAUCGAUAAACCCCGAUAAACCUCACCAGUUCUUGCUAAUACAGUCUAUAUACCGCCAUCUUCAGCAAACCCUAAAAAGGAAAAAAAGUAAGCACAAUCAUGAUACAUAAAAACGUUAGGUCAAGGUGUAACCUAUGAAAUGGAAAGAAAUGGGCUACAUUCUCUACACUAAGAGAACCAAUGCACGAAAGUUAUUAUGAAAUUAGUAACCAAAGGAGGAUUUAGCAGUAAACUAAGAGUAGAGUGCUUAGUUGAAUUAGGCCAUGAAGCACGCACACACCGCCCGUCACCCUC